RNAcentral lists this ribosomal RNA (253 nucleotides) under uncultured bacterium. RNAcentral's name for it is "partial 16S ribosomal RNA". It matches the Rfam family "Bacterial small subunit ribosomal RNA", at positions 524 to 776 of the family's 1533-position model. The record is from RNAcentral.
UACGUAGGGGGCGAGCGUUGUCCGGAUUUAUUGGGCGUAAAGAGCGUGUAGGCGGCCAGGUAGGUCUGCUGUGAAAACUCGAGGCUCAACCUCGAGACGUCGGCGGAAACCAUCUGGCUAGAGUCCGGAAGAGGCGAGUGGAAUUCCUGGUGUAGCGGUGGAAUGCGAAGAUAUCAGGAGGAACACCAAUAGCGAAGGCAGCUCGCUGGGACGGUACUGACGCUAAGGCGCGAAAGCGUGGGGAGCGAACAGG